UAAGGAAUAUUGGUCAAUGGACGAAAGUCUGAACCAGCCAUGCCGCGUGGAGGAUGAAGGUCCUCUGGAUUGUAAACUUCUUUUAUCAGGGACGAAAAAAGGGUUUUCUAACUCACUUGACGGUACCAGAUGAAUAAGCACCGGCUAACUCCGUGCCAGCAGCCGCGGUAAUACGGAGGGUGCAAGCGUUAUCCGGAUUCACUGGGUUUAAAGGGUGCGUAGGCGGGGAUGUAAGUCAGUGGUGAAAUCUCCGGGCUUAACUCGGAAACUGCCAUUGGUACUAUAUGUCCUGAAAUAUCUUGAGGUUAGCGGAAUA
Molecule: ribosomal RNA, 316 nt
Filed under: uncultured bacterium
Lineage: Bacteria
Description: bacterial SSU rRNA
Rfam family: Bacterial small subunit ribosomal RNA
Source: RNAcentral